GAUGAACGCUAGCGGGAGGCCUAAUACAUGCAAGUCGAACGGUAACAGGUAGCAAUACGCUGACGAGUGGCGCACGGGUGCGUAACGCGUACACAAUCUGCCUUAUACUGGGGCAUAGCCUUUGGAAACGAAGAAUAAUUCCCCAUAAUAUAUAGAAGAGGCAUCUCUUUCAUAUUAAAGCUCAGGCGGUAUAAGAUGAGUGUGCGUCCGAUUAGGUAGUUGGUGAGGUAACGGCUCACCAAGCCAACGAUCGGUAGCUGGUCUGAGAGGAUGAUCAGCCACACGAGCACUGAGACACGGGCCCGACUCCUACGGGAGGCAGCAGUAGGGAAUAUUGGACAAUGGGCGCAAGCCUGAUCCAGCCAUCCCGCGUGAAGGAUGAAGGUCCUCUGGAUUGUAAACUUCUUUUCUUCGGGAAUAAAAACUAGGGGUUCUCCUCAGCUUGAAGGUACCGAAGGAAUAAGCACCGGCUAACUCCGUGCCAGCAGCCG
This 491-nucleotide ribosomal RNA is filed under the name uncultured bacterium. RNAcentral describes it as "bacterial SSU rRNA". It matches the Rfam family "Bacterial small subunit ribosomal RNA", at positions 28 to 517 of the family's 1533-position model. The record is from RNAcentral.